GCGAGGGUAGUUUAGCCUGGUUAGAAUCUCUGGCUGUGGCCCGGAGGACCUGGGUUCAAAUCCCAGCCCUCGCC
Molecule: transfer RNA, 74 nt
Filed under: Candidatus Woesearchaeota archaeon
Lineage: Archaea; Nanobdellati; Candidatus Woesearchaeota
Description: tRNA-His
Rfam family: tRNA
About the family: Transfer RNA (tRNA) molecules are approximately 80 nucleotides in length. Their secondary structure includes four short double-helical elements and three loops (D, anti-codon, and T loops). Further hydrogen bonds mediate the characteristic L-shaped molecular structure. tRNAs have two regions of fundamental functional importance: the anti-codon, which is responsible for specific mRNA codon recognition, and the 3' end, to which the tRNAs corresponding amino acid is attached (by aminoacyl-tRNA synthetases). tRNAs cope with the degeneracy of the genetic code in two manners: having more than one tRNA (with a specific anti-codon) for a particular amino acid; and 'wobble' base-pairing, i.e. permitting non-standard base-pairing at the 3rd anti-codon position.
Source: RNAcentral